GAUACAAUUCUUAGAAUAUAAGUUAAUGAAAUUUGCAUAUAAACCUUGGAGAUAAUUAAAAACCUACAUGGUAGAAAUCAACAUCAACAAUAACAAAAACUACUGAACUAUAGACAAUAACAAAAACUACUGAACUAUAGAAGACCAACACGCUAUGCUUGAUCAUUCAAAGGCCCAUUGAUUUUCUCUGCGAAUUUCCUUCUCUUCUUCAGGAGUAAAGUCGUUCUUAAUAUUAAAAGUCUUGCGAAUUUCCUCGGGUGUUUUACCCUUGAUCAUGUCUGCAACAGUUUGGCAAGUAAGAUCCAAAAGACUCUUGAUGUUCAAAUAGUUUGCAGCCAAUAUCAAAUCAUAAAGAGUUGCCUGAUCAACUUUAACAAAGUCAGCAUCCCAAGUCUUGAGUUCUUCUUGAUCUGUUGACUGACCCUCGACCUCAACAUGUUUCUUGCAGUACUCAAUAACUUUAGCCAAGAUCUUUGCUGUCACAUUAGGUAGAGGGAUGCCGUUAUCAGCACAGUCAUCUUCAAUCAUGUGUUUGAUAGUUUGGGAUUGAGUAAUAACUGCUUCUUCAACUUCAAAUGAUUCACCAUCUGAACUAUUCAGUGUUACCAUCUUGGUCGACAUGAUCUCAAAUAGCAGCAAACAACAACAACAACAAUGCUGAACACGAAAAAACUUGUUUGUUUCUUUCAAAAAAAAAAAAGGCACAAAAGAAACUUGAUGAAUCAAACGCUUUAUGGUAAUCCUUUAUUUAUACUGAUCGAUCCUUCUUUCUAGAAACUUGCAAAUCAAAAAUCAAGUCGUACUAGAAAUUCUAAGUAUUACACACCGAACUUCUCACAAGGAAUUUCGACUCAUUCUCUCUAUAGGACUCCAACCAAACGAACUUUACUAAUGAGUUUUAAUAUGGACUAAGAUAUUGGGCCACGCCCAACUCGGGAUUGAAUUCAAAUAUUCCAGGCCUGUAUUGGGCCAAGAUCCCGGACCAUGGGCUAUGUGAUUACGUCAGUCAGUUUAAACUCUAAGGCUCGGUAAAUUCUUGGUAUUUUACGAGAAAUUUUAAGUUCUGCUUCUCCAUAGGUUUCAAAUUUUCUUUCGUGUCUUGGUCUUCCUCUUCCCUCUCCAUCUUAGCUUCUCUAAUGUUUUGAAUUUUUUCGUUAGAUGUCGUUUGUCGAAAUAGUGAAACAUCAAUCUUUCUUUUUCAUAUAAAUUGAAUCAAUGGUGGACAUGAUUGGCAAUUUAUAUACUGUAUACUAUGUGUUUAAUUACAGAUACAUUUUCAUGAUACAGUCCGACUUUGUCAAGUUGGUUCAUCCUGACUCCAUCAUAAGUGAAAUGAGGAUUUUUUUGCCUUAAAGAUACUGUGAAAGUUUCCGCAAGCAUUUCAGGAUUUUUACAUUGGCAAAACCAUUAUCUUUAAGUUGGAGCAUCCUAGAGGUUGUGUGUCUUCAAGUAGGGAAAUUUGGACUUAACCCCCCCACAUUAUGAACACACUAUAAAUAAACCCCCCAAUUGUUGAAAACUUGGACUUAACACCCUGCCGUUUGACUCCGUUAAAAUUUUCAUCCAAAGUUUAUUUUUUCUUACCUAAAUACCCUUCCUCAACCUAUUAGAACAAACCCCCAAAAUGUCUUCACUACUUGAUAAUAAUUUAAAAUGCUCCAUUGAUACAAUUUCAAUUGAAUUGAUGCAAGUUUGAUUUGAGAACCCAAAUUGAUGUAAGAGAGAAAAAAGAAAAUUGAAAGAGCUUUGUUUUCUUCUUGAUUUUGUCUUUGGCUUAUUCAACCCAUUUGAUUACUCCAACUCUAUGUUAUUUGCUUCCUAUCACCACACUAAUGUUAUGUUCAUUGCUCCAAUUUCAAAGUUAGAUAUGAAAUAAAGAAGAAUAAGAAAAUAAAGCUAGUUGAAUCAAAAUAUGUAAAUAAAGCUUGAAGAUUAAAAAAAUUGAGAGGGAGAUGUUGAUGUUGAUGUUGUUGUUGUUGUUGCUAAGUGAAGUGAAAAAGAUGAUUUGAAUAUGAGAUGUAAAGAAGAUGAUAGUGAAGAAGAUGAAGGGUAUUUAGGUCAAAACCAUUAAUCAUUGGAUGGUAAACUGGAUGGAACCUAACAAUGGGAUGUUAAGUCAAAGUUUUCAACUAUCAGGGGGUUUAUUUAUAUAGUGUCCAUAAUGUGGGGGGUUAAGUCCAAUUUUCCCCUUCAAGUACUUGUUAAUCUGUUAAAAAUUCAGCGGUAGCUAUUGCUGCUGAGAAAACUGUGUAAAUCCAAUUGUGAGAGUGGUUGUGUUUAACAGUUUAGGUUGUCCGUCUUCUGGUUGUGGUCAACUGUUUGUUUUCUACUAAUAACCUAAGCACUGGUGUAAUAAUAUAUUUCAGUAAGUUAUUAAUACUUAAAUUUUGGGAGAAUGAAUCAAUUAAUGACUUAAUUUAUUUUGUGAUAUUCAGAACUUAAUGUGUAUUCAGUGCUUAAUGCUAGAGAAAAGAUAAUAAAAAUAAACAACACCUAAGCAAAUCAAAGUUUCUUCAGUAAAAUUUAUAGGCUUCCCUAAAAUUCAGUAUGGAGAGCAGGAGAGGUUUUUCCAGGACUGAAUGUAUAUAGACCUAUCUUGCAAAUCAGAUUACAAAUCUCAAUGUGUACACACCCAUAAAUUCAACAGCACAGCAAACUAAGAGCAUUCCCAAUGGUAAAACACUUUUAGUGGUGCCACAUAGGAUGGUUUUAAGGAAUUUUGAGGUUUUCAAUGGUUUUAGCGAAAAAAGGGUUUUAGUGUUUCCAAUGGUGGAUUAUCCAUACCGCACUCAUUGUGGGGUAUGGAUCCAUACCGCACUCAUUGUGGGGUAUGGAUCCAUACCGCACUCAUUGUGGCGGAUGGAUCCAUACCGCACUCAUUGUGGCGGAUGGAUCCAUACCGCACUCAUUGUGGCGGAUGGAUCUUCUUUUAGAUGAGUCCAUACCGCACUAAUUGUGGGGUAUGGAUCCAUACCGCACUUAUUGUGGGGUAUGGAUCCAUACCGCACUAAUUGUGGCGGAUGGAUUCCUACGUGGCACUUUUAACUCCUUGGCAAAUUUGCCAAGGAGUUAAAAGUGUUUUGCUUGAAAAGUGUGUUAAAAGCUACCAUUGGCAAGUGUUUUCACUAAAAGUUAACUAAAAGUGUGCUAAAACCUACCAUUGGGAAUGCUCUAAGUACGGAGUAUUACACAACCCUGUAAGUUGUAAUAGUAACAAAGCAUUCAAAACAACAUUGGUUGUCACCACCUAUGAAUUUUUGUAAGAAUUAAUGUUGAUGUUCAUUUUGAUAAUGCAUCACAUCCAAUUGCUAUUAGUUAGGUGUUGAGAGACCACAAUGGAUUGUUUAUGGCAGCAGGAUCAGAUGUUAAAUUCCAGUAAGUUCUGCAGAGGAGGGCGAGAGCGAAGGCCUCUUAUGUGCGGCAGAAUGAGUCUGUCUUAGGAUAGGGAAUGUUGGCUUGGGAGCUCCAAAGCCCUUUUGGAAGAAGUGCAGGUGGCACAUGUUCUUACUCACCGGGCCAUUCAGAUUCACAGCACUCACCGGAAUUGGAUAAGCCUCGGCAGACCUCGAAAGGCUUGUUGUAAGCCUCACUUUAUCAGGUUGGACUCUGGUAAUGUUUUGAAAAAACAAAAAAACCUCUGGUAAUGUUUUGUAGGAAGUUUAGUUAGAUUUUUUGAAUUCAUCCUAAUUGAGCCAAUUUUCUUCUGGUACUGCAACUUUUUUUCCUUUAUCAUAUUUUUGCUGUGGAAAUCUAAAAUUGAGAAUGGGAAUAAUUAUGUAUCAAAUAUGCCCAUUGCCAUGGUUUGAUUUGGACAUUAAGCUUGAUCAUCUAGCAUGGUCAAGCAACGUGUUGGCGGAUCAAAUUAUACUUUUAUGUUCGUGUUCAAUAUUCUUAUCUUGAAUUUGUAUUUUGUACCAUGGUAUGGCUUAUAUAGUUAUACCCUCAGCAAAAUUCACCACCCUUUGCAUCAGUAGCUCAGUACUUUGAAAGAAGAACACGAAAAAAUAAAAUAAAAACCUAGAUUAGGAAGCAUACUUAAAAGUUGGAAACAUGAUAUUGUUUUCUGCGUUACAAGUCUGAUUAUUUGAUGAUUGAUCCAUAAAAAGUGAAGUUUCAAAUUUGAAGAACCAAAAACUGUAAACAGGAAUAAUUUAUUAAAUAAAUUUGCAAUAACAAUAUAUACGAAAUUGAGCAAUAUGUUAAAAAUUAAAUUUCCAUCAAAUAGAUUAUACUCAGUCAUCACCAGUAAACCUUGAAACAUCCAAAACACAUAUAAUUUUAACAAAACGUCGUGACUAAACUAACACAGGAGUUUGUUGAUAAAAAAAGAUAUAUAGCAAAAAACAAGAAAAAAAAACCAAAGCACAUUAAACCGCAAUCACUCAAAGGCCCAUUGGUUUUCUCGGCGAACUGCCUCUUCUUCUUCAGGAGUGAAGUCGUUCUUAAUAUUAAAAGUCUUGCGAAUUUCCUCAGGUGUUUUACCCUUGAUCAUGUCUGCGACAGUUUGGCAAGUAAGAUCCAAUAGACUCUUGAU
This 4534-nucleotide long non-coding RNA is filed under the name Aquilegia coerulea. RNAcentral's name for it is "long non-coding RNA (ACOE_LNC001237)". The record is from RNAcentral. Lineage: Eukaryota; Viridiplantae; Streptophyta; Magnoliopsida; Ranunculales; Ranunculaceae.